This 393-nucleotide ribosomal RNA is filed under the name uncultured Gammaproteobacteria bacterium. RNAcentral describes it as "bacterial SSU rRNA". It matches the Rfam family "Bacterial small subunit ribosomal RNA", at positions 370 to 779 of the family's 1533-position model. The record is from RNAcentral. Lineage: Bacteria; Pseudomonadati; Pseudomonadota; Gammaproteobacteria.
AAUGGGCGAAAGCCUGACGGAGCAACGCCGUGUGAGGGAUGAAGGCCUCUGGGCUGUAAACCUCUUUUAUCAAGGAAGAAGAUCUGACGGUACUUGAUGAAUAAGCCACGGCUAAUUCCGUGCCAGCAGCCGCGGUAAUACGGGAGUGGCAAGCGUUAUCCGGAAUUAUUGGGCGUAAAGCGUCCGCAGGCGGCCCUUCAAGUCUGCUGUUAAAAAGUGGAGCUUAACUCCAUCAUGGCAGUGGAAACUGUUGGGCUUGAGUGUGGUAGGGGCAGAGGGAAUUCCCGGUGUAGCGGUGAAAUGCGUAGAUAUCGGGAAGAACACCAGUGGCGAAGGCGCUCUGCUGGCCAUCACUGACGCUCAUGGACGAAAGCCAGGGGAGCGAAAGGGAUU